RNAcentral lists this small nuclear RNA (159 nucleotides) under Erpetoichthys calabaricus (reedfish). RNAcentral's name for it is "U1 spliceosomal RNA (ENSECRG00000008514.1)". It matches the Rfam family "U1 spliceosomal RNA". Rfam says of the family: U1 is a small nuclear RNA (snRNA) component of the spliceosome (involved in pre-mRNA splicing). Its 5' end forms complementary base pairs with the 5' splice junction, thus defining the 5' donor site of an intron. There are significant differences in sequence and secondary structure between metazoan and yeast U1 snRNAs, the latter being much longer (568 nucleotides as compared to 164 nucleotides in human). The record is from RNAcentral. Lineage: Eukaryota; Metazoa; Chordata; Cladistia; Polypteriformes; Polypteridae.
AUUCUUGGGUAUUGGAGUCCAUGAUCACUAAGGUGGUUCUCCCAGGGCGAGGCUCAUCCAUUGCACUCCGGGUGUGCUGACCCCUGCGAUUUCCCCAAAUGCGGGAAACUUGACUGCAUAAUUUGUGGUAGUGGGGGACUGCAUUCUCGCUCUCCCCUG